This 490-nucleotide ribosomal RNA is filed under the name uncultured bacterium. Its description in RNAcentral is "bacterial SSU rRNA". It matches the Rfam family "Bacterial small subunit ribosomal RNA", at positions 42 to 512 of the family's 1533-position model. The record is from RNAcentral.
GCGUGCCUAAUACAUGCAGUCGAACGAUAGUUAUGAGGGAGCUUGCUCCCGAUUAGCUUAGUGGCGGACGGGUGAGUAACACGUAGGCAACCUGCCCACAAGAUCGGGAUAACAUUCGGAAACGGAUGCUAAGACCGGAUACACAAUUCAGCCGCAUGGCCGGAUUGGGAAACACGGAGCAAUCUGUGGCUUGUGGAUGGGCCUGCGGCGCAUUAGCUAGUUGGUGGGGUAAAGGCUCACCAAGGCGACGAUGCGUAGCCGACCUGAGAGGGUGAACGGCCACACUGGGACUGAGACACGGCCCAGACUCCUACGGGAGGCAGCAGUAGGGAAUCUUCCACAAUGGGCGAAAGCCUGAUGGAGCAACGCCGCGUGAGUGGGGAAGGCUUUCGGGUCGUAAAGCUCUGUUGCCAGGGAAGAAUAAGGGCUAGUUAACUGCUAGUCCGAUGACGGUACCUGAGAAGAAAGCCCCGGCUAACUACGUGCCAGC